UAUAAGCCUGUGUAGAUGAUAACUUAGA
RNAcentral lists this small RNA (28 nucleotides) under Bombyx mori (domestic silkworm). RNAcentral describes it as "ovarian small RNA-23272". The record is from RNAcentral. Lineage: Eukaryota; Metazoa; Arthropoda; Insecta; Lepidoptera; Bombycidae.